GAAGGAUCAUUACCGAGAUUGAAGGGUCUUCCCUUUUGGGGACUGACCUCGAACCUCCAUCCUUUGAUGUACGACGAACACGAUUGCUUUGACGGCAUCAAACCCGUCGGCAGUACCCCCAAACUCACUAUUUUGGUGCCGUCUGAGCGAAUUUUGUAAUGAGACAAAACUUUCAACAACGGAUCUCUUGGUUCUGGCAUCGAUGAAGAACGCAGCGAAAUGCGAAAAGUAAUGCGAAUUGCAGAAUUUAGUGAGUCAUCGAAUCUUUGAACGCACAUGGCGCCCUCUGGUAUUCCGGGGGGCAUGCCUGUCCGAGCGUCGUUAUCACGACCACUUGGUGGUUAGCUACGAGCUUCGUGCUCGAUGUUGGGCCGUCUACACAUAUCGUCUUGAGGCGAUUGGUCCCAAAAUGAGGGUGUCGGUGUCGAACGUCCGACUGCAGUAGAUAAUCUUUCAGUCUUGAGGGACGGCAUCGAUGGCAUGGGCGUCCAGGACGCAGCGUACGCCGCAAUGCUACGCCGGUAGGAGUACCCGCCGCACUCCAUCUCUUCGACCUCGGAUCAGGUAGGGAUACCCGCUGAACUUAAGCAUAUCAUAA
This 598-nucleotide ribosomal RNA is filed under the name Pertusaria subobductans. RNAcentral's name for it is "eukaryotic LSU rRNA". The stretch from base 168 to 321 matches the Rfam family "5.8S ribosomal RNA". The record is from RNAcentral. Lineage: Eukaryota; Fungi; Ascomycota; Lecanoromycetes; Pertusariales; Pertusariaceae.